AUACGGAGGGGACAAGCGUUAUUCGGAAUCACUGGGCGUAAAGGACGCGUAGGCGGGUUAUUAAGUCGGGUGUGAAAUCCAAUGGCUCAACCAUUGAACUGCAUUCGAAACUGAUAACCUAGAGUAUGGGAGGGGCAGGUGGAAUUAGUGGUGUAGGGGUAAAAUCCGUAGAUAUCACUAGGAAUACCGAAAGCGAAGGCGACCUGCUGGGACAUUACUGACGCUGAGGCGUGAAAGCGUGGGGAGCAAACAGGAUUAGAAACCCCAGUAGUCC
Molecule: ribosomal RNA, 274 nt
Filed under: uncultured bacterium
Lineage: Bacteria
Description: partial 16S ribosomal RNA
Rfam family: Bacterial small subunit ribosomal RNA
Source: RNAcentral